UACGGGGGGGGCAAGCGUUGUUCGGAAUUACUGGGCGUAAAGGGCUCGUAGGUGGCCAACUAAGUCGGACGUGAAAUCCCUCGGCUUAACCGGGGAACUGCGUCCGAUACUGGUUGGCUUGAGUUUGGGAGAGGGAUGCGGAAUUCCAGGUGUAGCGGUGAAAUGCGUAGAGAUCUGCAAGAAUACCCGUGGCGAAGGCGGCCAGCUGGGCCGGUUCUGACGCUGAGGCGCGAAAGCGUGGGGAGCAAACAGG
Molecule: ribosomal RNA, 253 nt
Filed under: uncultured bacterium
Lineage: Bacteria
Description: partial 16S ribosomal RNA
Rfam family: Bacterial small subunit ribosomal RNA
Source: RNAcentral